CGUAGGGGGCAAGCGUUGUCCGGAAUUAUUGGGCGUAAAGCGCGCGCAGGCGGCUCUUUAAGUCUGGUGUUUAAGUGCGGGGCUCAACCCCGUGACGCACUGGAAACUGGGGAGCUUGAGUGCAGAAGAGGAGAGCGGAAUUCCACGUGUAGCGGUGAAAUGCGUAGAGAUGUGGAGGAACACCAGUGGCGAAGGCGGCUCUCUGGACUGUAACUGACGCUGAGGCGCGAAAGCGUGGGGAACAAACAGGAUUAGAUACCCUGGUAGUCCACGCCGUAAACGAUGAGUGCUAGGUGUUGGGGGUAUCAUGCCCUCGGUGCCGAAGUUAACACAUUAAGCACUCCGCCUGGGGAGUACGCUCGCAAGAGUG
RNAcentral lists this ribosomal RNA (370 nucleotides) under uncultured organism. RNAcentral's name for it is "bacterial SSU rRNA". It matches the Rfam family "Bacterial small subunit ribosomal RNA", at positions 526 to 896 of the family's 1533-position model. The record is from RNAcentral.